RNAcentral lists this unclassified non-coding RNA (529 nucleotides) under Hevea brasiliensis (rubber tree). The record is from RNAcentral. Lineage: Eukaryota; Viridiplantae; Streptophyta; Magnoliopsida; Malpighiales; Euphorbiaceae.
UCCUCGGGCAGAGAUUCAUCCACCUGCAAAUUUUCUUCCUCCUGCUCGAGGGCCACAUUUUCCCAGCAAACCAUUUGACAGUGGCGAUAAUAACUCGAAUUUCCCUCCUUUCCAAAAAUUUCACGAGGGUUCUGCACCGGGUUCGAUUCAAGGCUCUCCACAGCCAAUCACUUACCGAUUAAUGUGUUCAAAUGAUAAGGUCGGGAACGUCAUAGGAAAGGGAGGUAGUAUUAUUAAAGGCAUUCAUCACGAAACAGGAUGUGAUAUCAAAGUUCUUGAAACGGUUGAUCCAGAAGACCGUGUUAUAGUUGUAUCUGGUGCUGCGUUCCCAGGUGAUAGGAUUUCUCCAGCACAGGAUGCACUUCUUCGUGUGCAGGAAAGGAUUGUUAUGGCAGGACCUGAUAACAAAGAAAGCACAGUUUCAUCAAGGCUAUUAGUUUCUUCCAAUCAAACUGGCUGCCUUCUUGGUAGAGGUGGAUCCAUAAUCUCAGAAAUGAGAAAGCUCACUGGAGCUCAGAUUCGCGUUUUG